GUCGAGAAUAAUUCACAAUGGGGGAAACCCUGAUGGUGCAACGCCGCGUGGAGGAUGAAGGUCUUCGGAUUGUAAACUCCUGUCAUCUGGGAGUAAGACCUGACGGUGAAUAGCCGGCAGGGUUGAUAGUACCAGAAGAGGAAGGGACGGCUAACUUCGUGCCAGCAGCCGCGGUAAUACGAAGGUCCCAAGCGUUGUUCGGAAUCACUGGGCGUAAAGGGAGCGUAGGCGGCGUGGUAAGUCAGAUGUGAAAUCCCGGGGCUCAACCCCGGAACUGCAUCCGAUACUGCCAUGCUUGAGGGUUGGAGAGGUAGCUGGAAUUCUCGGUGUAGCAGUGAAAUGCGUGGAUAUCGAGAGGAACACUCGUGGCGAAGGCGAGCUACUGGACAACAUCUGACGCUGAGGCUCGAAGGCCAGGGGAGCAAAAGGGAUUAGAAACCCUUGUAGUCC
This 450-nucleotide ribosomal RNA is filed under the name uncultured bacterium. RNAcentral describes it as "partial 16S ribosomal RNA". It matches the Rfam family "Bacterial small subunit ribosomal RNA", at positions 354 to 796 of the family's 1533-position model. The record is from RNAcentral.